UACAGAGGGUGCAAACGUUGCUCGGAAUUAUUGGGCGUAAAGCGCGUGUAGGCGGCCUGUUAAGUUGGUUGUGAAAACCCAUGGCUCAACCAUGGAAGUGCGUCCAAAACUGGCAGGCUAGAGUUCUGACGAGGAUGGCGGAAUUCCCAGUGUAGAGGUGAAAUUCGUAGAUAUUGGGAGGAACACCGGUGGCGAAGGCGGCCAUCUGGGAAGAUACUGACGCUGAGACGCGAAAGCGUGGGGAGCAAAC
Molecule: ribosomal RNA, 250 nt
Filed under: uncultured bacterium
Lineage: Bacteria
Description: partial 16S ribosomal RNA
Rfam family: Bacterial small subunit ribosomal RNA
Source: RNAcentral